Molecule: ribosomal RNA, 468 nt
Filed under: uncultured bacterium
Lineage: Bacteria
Description: partial 16S ribosomal RNA
Rfam family: Bacterial small subunit ribosomal RNA
Source: RNAcentral
GACGAACGCUGGCGGCGUGCUUAACACAUGCAAGUCGAACGGAAAGGCCCUGCUUUUGUGGGGUGCUCGAGUGGCGAACGGGUGAGUAACACGUGAGUAACCUGCCCUUGACUUUGGGAUAACUUCAGGCAACUGGGGCUAAUACCGGAUAGGAGCUCCUGCUGCAUGGUGGGGGUUGGAAAGUUUCGGCGGUUGGGGAUGGACUCGCGGCUUAUCAGCUUGUUGGUGGGGUAGUGGCUUACCAAGGCUUUGACGGGUAGCCGGCCUGAGAGGGUGAACGGCCACAUUGGGACUGAGAUACGGCGCAGAGUCCUACGUGAGGCAACAGUGGGGAAUAUUGCACAAUGGGCGGAAGCCUGAUGCAGCAACCCCGCGUGCGGGAUGACGGCCAUCGGGUUGUAAACCGCUUUCGCCUGUGACGAAGCGGGAGUGACGGUAAUGGGUAAAGAAGCACCGGCUAACUACGUG